AGCGGCGGACGGGUGAGUAACACGUGGGUAACCUGCCCAAGAGACUGGGAUAACACCUGGAAACAGAUGCUAAUACCGGAUAACAACACUAGACGCAUGUCUAGAGUCUGAAAGAUGGUUCUGCUAUCACUCUUGGAUGGACCUGCGGCGCAUUAGCUAGUUGGUAAGGUAACGGCUUACCAAGGCAAUGAUGCAUAGCCGAGUUGAGAGACUGAUCGGCCACAUUGGGACUGAGACACGGCCCAAACUCCUACGGGAGGCAGCAGUAGGGAAUCUUCCACAAUGGACGAAAGUCUGAUGGAGCAACGCCGCGUGAGUGAAGAAGGGUUUCGGCUCGUAAAGCUCUGUUGGUAGUGAAGAAAGAUAGAGGUAGUAACUGGCCUUUAUUUGACGGUAAUUACUUAGAAAGUCACGGCUAACUACGUGCCAGCAGCCGCGGUAAUACGUAGGUGGCAAGCGUUGUCCGGAUUUAUUGGGCGUAAAGCGAGUGCAGGCGGUUCAAUAAGUCUGAUGUGAAAGCCUUCGGCUCAACCGGAGAAUUGCAUCAGAAACUGUUGAACUUGAGUGCAGAAGAGGAGAGUGGAACUCCAUGUGUAGCGUGGAAUGCGUAGAUAUAUGGAAGAACACCAGUGGCGAAGGCGGCUCUCUGGUCUGCAACUGGCGCUGAGGCUCGAAAGCAUGGGUAGCGAACAGGAUUAGAUACCCUGGUAGUCCAUGCCGUAAACGAUGAGUGCUAAGUGU
Molecule: ribosomal RNA, 741 nt
Filed under: uncultured bacterium
Lineage: Bacteria
Description: bacterial SSU rRNA
Rfam family: Bacterial small subunit ribosomal RNA
Source: RNAcentral